This 295-nucleotide long non-coding RNA is filed under the name Bos taurus (domestic cattle). RNAcentral's name for it is "long non-coding RNA NONBTAT011913". Lineage: Eukaryota; Metazoa; Chordata; Mammalia; Artiodactyla; Bovidae. The record is from RNAcentral.
UUUGUUCAAGUCUAUAGUCAAAGCACCUAAAGACUACAGUACUGUGGAAGUGAAUAGAAAAAAACUGGAAAUUUGGCAACUUGUGAUUGGAUUUAAAGCUGGAUCCACCAGAGCUUGACUUUGGGUCCAAACACCCCAAAUUUGGGAUUUAUAUACUGUCAAGGAAGGGCUCAAGUGGCCCAUCAGCCCAGAAGGAGCCUCGGAAAUGGAUCCUCAAGCACUUGGAGUGACUUUCACACCUGGAGAUAACAAUUCUCAUAGAAGUUUCACAUUCUAGGAAAUGGGUAUUAAACUG